This 1960-nucleotide unclassified non-coding RNA is filed under the name Dermacentor andersoni. Its description in RNAcentral is "heat shock factor protein 1-like". Lineage: Eukaryota; Metazoa; Arthropoda; Arachnida; Ixodida; Ixodidae. The record is from RNAcentral.
UUGGCAGGCAUCGCAAGGUCGGGCAUCGUGCGGCGUAGAGGCAGCGCGAGUUUUUAUCAUUUUAUUUGUCCCCUAGGUCUCUGUAUGUGCCGACAAUGGUCACAUUUCACAGAACAGUAAUAUUGUUCUAAGUACGUUACCGCGUUUGCUAUGCAUACCACGGAAGUUGGCGUCAGUAACGUCCCCGCAUUUUUAGUUAAGCUAUGGAAGCUUGUCGAAGACGAGAAAUGCAACGACCUGAUCAGCUGGAGCUCGACUGGACAGAGCUUCAUCAUACACAACCAGACGCAGUUUGCCAAGGAACUUCUGCCCCUAUACUUCAAGCACAACAACAUGGCAAGCUUGAUCAGGCAGCUAAAUAUGUAUGGCUUUCGCAAAGUGGCCAACAUAGACCAGGGUCUAAGGUCAGACCGAGAGGGAAUAGAGUUUUUCCAUAACUUCUUCAUUCGGGGUCAAGAAUGUCUGCUAGAAUUCAUCAAGCGAAAGGUUCCAUCUAGCCGGGCAGGUGCAGUUGUCCCUGAUGAUGGACGAGCACGCAGCGAGGUUUUCAAGGAGCUGCUUUCAGAUGUGGGCAGCAUCCAGGGCCGCCAAGAGCAGAUGGACCAGCUGCUUUCAGAAAUGAAAAAAGAAAACGAGGCAUUAUGGCGGGAGGUGGCUCGUCUGCGCCAGAAACACAUGAAGCAGCAGCAAAUAGUUGAAAAGCUCAUCCAAUUCUUGGUCACCAUGGUGCAGGCCAACCGUAAUAUCACCGUAAAGCGAAAAAUCCCACUCAUGCUCCACGACAGUCCCAGCACACAUGCAAAGGUGCCCCGACUGGCCAAGAAUGCCUUUAUUGCCGACUACCAAGUCAGUUCACCUGCUGGUUCACAGGUGUCUGAAGGUCCUGUAAUUCGUGAUGUAACUGAUCUAAUGGAAGACCUUGGUGAGACAAGUGGCCCCAUUGUUGCUGAUGUGGUGACUGCUGGCCAGUCCCCCGGGGCAGGCGAGGUGCCAGCUCCUGUGAUGUCAUUUCGUCCGAUUUCACCAGCAGCCUCCAAUGACUUGGACGUUAGUCCUGUAGUGGCUAGUCCUUUGAAUGCCACAGAAGCAAUAGAGCCUCUGUGCCUACUUGAUCCUCUUCAAGAUGAGGAGGGCUCAUAUGUACUUCCGUGUGACAUUGAAGAAGUGGUUGUGGAUUCAUCUGAGGACAGUUCAAAGGAACUAGCUGCAUCCUCUUCCAAGAGCCUAGCAGUGCCCAGUCUGAAGGCUGUCCAAGUUGUGACGUCUACCACUGACAAGCAGGCCACAUCUGCAAAUUCAGCCUUUUCUUCAUCUAACUCGAUUGGUGAGGAAGAGCCAACAAUGCUGGGUCAAAGGCAGGCACCCAAUGGUACCUCAGACCUGCUGAACAGUUGUGUCUUGCUGGAGGAAAUUCCCAUGUUUGUGGGUGAACCUCCUGUAGCAGCCAGUCCGUCGGGCCUGGCUGACCUUGCAACGGAGGAAAGCUCCAAGCACAAGGAGAAAGCAAUUGCACCACGCAGCCCAGGAAUGCAGGUGGCAUUGCAGGACAAGGCUGCUGGAUCCACUAAGGUUUUUGCAGAGCAUGUGGAAUCCAUAGAUACCGACUUGGAUUGGCUGCAAGACCAGCUAAUGAGUGGAGGGCUCAACUUGGACACUUCCACACUGAUGGGGGUAUGUCCUGACUGGACAGGGCUUCUGUCAAAAGCCUCAAAGGGAUCUCAGGGCUGCAGUCCAGUGAUGAAGAUAUCAGUGGGUCUCAUACCUUGGAUAAGUUGUUCUCUCCUGAAGAUCCAUUGACGUCUUGUUUGGGGGAAUUGGCUACUGAAAACAGGUCUAUUUCAGACACCAUAGGCAACGAGGUGGUGCAGUACACACCAAGCCUCCUUGACCUGGGCAUUGAAGACGACUCCUCAUUUCAGCCUGUUAAUGAGCUUCUUUUGUCCGACGAUGAACUCCCAAG